AUUUUUGAACUCGUGGUGGCUCUGUAUUAUUUGCAAAUUAUUUGCAAAAUACUCGUAUAAGGAGAGGGACAUAUUUUAUGCUGGAAUAUUGUCAAUAUAAAUGGUGCUCUAAAAAUGUGUCCGACUGUAAAGAUAUGUCUAAUUAAACAGUGUCAUAUAUAAUAAAAACGUAUCCUUUUAUUUAAAGAUGCUUUCAUUCACGGUUUCAUGCUUCAAUUUGAAAUGACGAUAGUUUAUUUUGGACCAGUGAUGAUCUAAUUCAAAAUUUUGAUUUAAUAACCAUGAAUGAAAUAACCACUUUCUGUUAGUUCUCUUAAAAUUUAUUAAGAAAUCUAUAUUGAAGGCCGUUUUAUCCUUUAGUGUUGUAGAAAAAUACACUUUACAUUUUGAAAUUUAAAAUGACCUUCUUUUAAAUAAAAUUUUAAAACAAAUGCCUCUAACUAAGGAAGAAAUUUUAGAAAUACAUCAGAAGUACCAUGUUAGCCAUACAACAAGUGAAUCAUGCUAUGACACAUGUGCACUUAUUUUAAAAAACUAUUAUUCAAAUGGUGGUUAUAUUGAAUAUAAAUAUGUACAUAUCAUACAUGACACAAACCGCGUCAACCCUUCUGUUGGAUCUGGGGUGAAUCAUGCAAUUUUAUAUCUAAAGCUCAUGACAUAAACUUAAUUCAUGAAUAAUAUAACACUAGCCUUGGCCUUUGUUAUAAACAUAUAAUAAUCUAUGUGCCUCAUUCAAAAAUUUAUUAAAAAACUUACAUAGUUCAUAUCUCAUUGUACAUACAUUCACUUCGAAAAUAUACAUAUAAACAUAAACGUGGUCAAAAUGUAAGUCGUGCAGUAAUGCGUGUCGUGGUCCAACCUCAAUUGAUCAGAAAUUGAACUACACGAAAUCCUAUGGAAACCUUAGAGAAAUGGGGUAAAUAGGAAAAUAGUAAGCUUGUGACUCAAUGAAUGAAUAAAUUAUAUAUAUAAAUAAAUUAGUGCUUAAGUGCUCGUCAUAAUUGUAUGACAUAACUUUACAUUGAAACGCUUUACAAAAGCAAAACAUGAACUCGUAUAUACAUACAUGACAAAAUUGCACCAAAUGAUAUACAGGGGAAAUAACUCUCAAUACUCACUGGGAUCAUCAUCGCAUGAGUAAAAAGGGGGAAAAACCUCUCAAUACUCAGUAGAAUUAACAACAUCACAAGGGUCGAGUAAUUUAAUUCUCAAUACGCAUGCGUGGAGCCUAUGGGAAAAGGUACACAUAUGGUGCCUGUCAAUUACAUCUCAUGACUCAGUCAAUCAUAUAAUAUACGUACAUAUAAUCAUAACAUUAUACUAAAUCAUACUAUUAAACAUAAAUGCUUUGUAAAAUACAUAAUAGUAAUAAAAUAAUCACUCACAGAUCCUAUUGAUGAAGCACGCACGUGCUUUGCUCACAGAUCCUAUUGAUGAAGCACGCACGUGCUUUGCUUUAAGCUAACAGCUUGCUAUUGCUUUGACAAUUAACCACAUGUGCCUCCUUUUAGCUUGCACGUGUGUCAAAAUACAUGCAUUAGAAUUGGGUUGUAUUCUCAUGGGUGAAGCAUGAAUGUGCUUUGCUUUAAGCUAACAGCUUGCUAUUGCUUUGACAAUUAGCGACAUGUGACUCGUUUAUAGUUUAGGAAAUAACAAUAUUGAAUAGAAAUAUUCUUAGAAUAUAGUAUUUUUUUUCCAUUCAAACAUUUUCUCAUUUCGACAAAGGUCACAAAAAAAAUACUUUUUUAAUUUAAAUGUAAAUAUUUAAAAAUCAUAUAUAAGUUAUAAAAUAAAUAAUUAAUAUUUUUUUAAAAGUUAGACUUUAUAUGCUUAACAGUCAACCCUAAGGAACAUGAAUAAGAGCUACUAAAAAAAAAAGAAUAAUUUUGAAACUAAAUACAAUUAAUUGAGAGAUGAGGACGGAUAAGAUAAAUUCAGAGAUAAAAAUUAAAGCACAGAAGCACGUGUGUUGAAAAGUAUGGUGUUCGUGUGGAAUUUUCAGUUAACAGUCUACAAAGCAGUGGAAUUAAUCAAUCAUCGUGGAGUGCACGGUGGUUGGACAAUGAGAUGAAAUUGAAAAACUAUCACGGAACUUGAAGGAAGGUUCAUGGCAUCGAUUUAUUCUAUAGAGUCACGCACAUUUCGUUCAAUAAUUGUUUUCAUCCGAAUCGAAAUCUCUCUCUAAUCAAUUCAACUGUUUCUGUUGAUUAUGGCUUCUUCUUAUCGAAACAACAAGAAGUAUGAUGUUUUUGUUAGUUUCAGAGGAGAGGACACCCGAGACAACUUUACUAGCCAUCUCUAUUCUGCUCUGUGUCGACAAAAUAUCCAAACUUUCAUUGAUGACCAACUUAACAGAGGAGACGAAAUUUCGGAGUCACUGGUGAAUGCAAUUGAAGCAUCAGCCAUUUCAGUUAUCGUCUUCUCAGAAGGGUAUGCAUCUUCCAGAUGGUGUCUCGAUGAACUUGUAAAGAUCCUCGACUGCAAGGAGUAUGCACAGAUUGUGAUUCCGGUUUUCUAUCGGGUUGAUCCAUCAGACGUGAGAAACCAAACUGGGAGUUUUGGAGAUUCAUUUUCGAAGCUUGAAGAAAGAUUAAAUUUCUCAUACUAAAAUUUAACAAUAAAUUCACGCAGCACUCUUAGUUAAAUUUCCGGAUGCUAAACUACAAUUUUAAAAAUUUUUAAGCAUCAAAUUCAAGACUUCCUGACUUCCCACUUUUGUGCUCAUAUAAAAUAAUUUUGACAGAAUUAAUAAUAAAAGCGCGAGAAUUUUACAAUUUUUAUAUAGCAAAAUUAGUGGUGCUCUGUAGUUUUUCAAGCAAUUUCAUUUCUAUAUAUCACCAUUAAAAAAAAAAAAACUCACGAAUAUUCUUGUAACUUAAGAGUUAUCAAUUUAUUGUGAGAUUGUAGACUUAUAGUGGUAUAUAUUAAUUUUAAUAGGAAAAUUGACAAUCUACUUUAUUUCAUAUUUAAUGCAAAUUCCUCCUAUUAAUUAAUUUGAAGUUACCGCGGCUAAUUUUAUGUAUUUGCUAGGCGUGAGUCGGAACUUAUAAAUGAAGUUGUUAAUCACAUUUUGAAGAGAUUGGAUGAAGUGUUUCGGCCGCGUGAUAACAAAAACCAGCUGGUUGGAGUGGAAUCAAACAGUUGAGGAAAUUGAAUCCCUAUUAGGUGUUGAGUCGAAAGAUGUUUACGCUUUAGGGAUUUGGGGCAUUGGUGGUAUAGGCAAAACAGCAAUCGCUAGAGCUAUUUUCGACAAAAUCUCGGGUGAUUUUGAAGGUUCUUGCUUCCUCGAAAAUGUUAGAGAAGAGUCACAAAGACCAGGAGGAUUAGCUUGCUUACGACAAAAACUUCUUUCAAAUUUAUUGAAGGAUAAAAAUGUGAUGCCUUAUAUUGACCUCAAUUUUAGAAGGCUCAGCCGCAUGAAGGUUUUGAUUGUUUUUGAUGAUGUGACUUGCUUCAGCCAAUUAGAAUCUUUAAUUGGAAGCCUUGAUCGGUUGACGCCUGUGAGUCGAAUCAUAAUAACCACCAGAAAUAAACAAGUGCUUAGAAAUUGGGGGGUGAGGAAAAUAUAUGAGAUGGAGGCAUUAGAAU
RNAcentral lists this long non-coding RNA (3588 nucleotides) under Citrus maxima (pomelo). Its description in RNAcentral is "long non-coding RNA (CMAX_LNC004131)". The record is from RNAcentral. Lineage: Eukaryota; Viridiplantae; Streptophyta; Magnoliopsida; Sapindales; Rutaceae.